This 399-nucleotide ribosomal RNA is filed under the name uncultured bacterium. RNAcentral's name for it is "bacterial SSU rRNA". It matches the Rfam family "Bacterial small subunit ribosomal RNA", at positions 64 to 507 of the family's 1533-position model. The record is from RNAcentral.
UAGGGGGUGUAGCAAUACAUCACCGGCGGACGGGUGCGUAACACGUGGGAAUAUACCUUUCGGUACGGAACAACUGAGGGAAACUUCAGCUAAUACCGUAUACGUCCUAACGGAGAAAGAUUUAUCGCCGAAGGAUUAGCCCGCGCUCGAUUAGCUAGUUGGUGAGGUAAUGGCUCACCAAGGCUACGAUCGAUAGCUGUUCUGAGAGGAAGAUCAGCCACACUGGGACUGAGACACGGCCCAGACUCCUACGGGAGGCAGCAGUUGGGAAUCUUGGACAAUGGGGGAAACCCUGAUCCAGCCAUGCCGCGUGAGUGAUGAAGGCCUUCGGGUUGUAAAGCUCUUUUACCCGGGAAGAUAAUGACUGUACCGGGAGAAUAAGCUCCGGCUAACUUCGUG